This 301-nucleotide ribosomal RNA is filed under the name uncultured bacterium. RNAcentral's name for it is "partial 16S ribosomal RNA". It matches the Rfam family "Bacterial small subunit ribosomal RNA", at positions 509 to 807 of the family's 1533-position model. The record is from RNAcentral.
CAGUAGCCGCGGUAAUACGAAGGGUGCAAGCGUUAAUCGGAAUUACUGGGCGUAGAGCGUGCGCAGGCGGUUUGUUAAGUCUGUUGUGAAAUCCCCGGGCUCAACCUGGGAAUGGCAAUGGAUACUGGCAAGCUAGAGUGUGUCAGAGGAUGGUGGAAUUCCCGGUGUAGCGGUGAAAUGCGUAGAGAUCGGGAGGAACAUCAGUGGCGAAGGCGGCCAUCUGGGACAACACUGACGCUGAGGCACGAAAGCGUGAGGAGCAAACAGGAUUAGAUACCCCCGUAGUCCCUGUCUCUUAUAC